Long non-coding RNA from Acanthochromis polyacanthus (spiny chromis), 1302 nucleotides. RefSeq lists it as uncharacterized. The transcript has 2 exons. NCBI's taxonomy places the organism in Eukaryota, Metazoa, Chordata, Actinopteri, Pomacentridae. The record is from RefSeq and is a predicted model, not a curated record.
GGGGAGGCGGGGGUGAGUGAGUAGUCUGGGGUGGGCUGUUAGAGGCACUGUGUCUUUAAAAUAAUGAGCCAUCUCCUCCCAGGUUUGGUAGCUGAGGGGGACACAGGAGGAGAAGCCAUAAGAGAGGAGAACAAGAAGGAGGAGGAGGAGAAGGAGAAGAAGAAGAAGGGGUGACAGGGGGCAGAGAGCGAUGGGAGGAGGGUGAAAGUGUAACCUGAGAGCCGACAGGAACGCAGAGUGACGUAAGGGAGCUACAGGACGGUUGGUGAUCACAUGCAUGAAUGGAGGGCCGCUAUGGACCGCGGUUACAGGACAAGAACACCAACACUCGGCCUCGCUGGGGGGCAAAGACGAGGCCGAGCUCACCGCCGAUCGGCCACAAACUCAGAGAUAAGCUCGCCUACGACACGUACAAACACCCAAACUGAGAUUAACACAGGGAAGGUAAAGAGGGAAACACCUGCUGCACAGAGACAGAAAACAGGUCGGUGCUUCAGGUGCAACACAAAAGACAAACAGACGAGGAAAAGAGCUGGCAGACGUGAUGUAGGUGGGCGGUUUGGAGGACAAUGACCGUGAUCCCUGCAUGGCCCACCCUCAUUCUGAGAGACCACCCAUAAGCAGACAGCUCGCUGCUCUCACUGAAUGUACAGGGAGCGCUUAAUUACAAUAACAGCCCAAUCAGGCGCUAACGAGCCCGGGUGGGGGCAGAGCGCAGGGCUGGAACGUACUGUACCGUACUGUAGCACUCUAUAGGAGAAAUGUGGGCCGUCCACCCGCCUUCCCCGUCUGUUUGACACUUAAUUUGGCAGCAGGAAUGAGGAGAGCGGGAGGCGGCAGAGGAGGGAGGGCGACGGACCAAUGGGAACGGCGGAGGGAACAGCUUCAACGGGGAGAUUAGCAAAUUAAUCAGAGAGGACAGUUUUCCUCACAACAAACGUACGGGGACAGAUACAGUCUAGACGUUUGCCAGCAUGCUCCAGCAGUCUGCAGCUCUUUUCACACAUUCAAGCUGCGACACGAACUGAAUAAAACGCUAAAUAAAACCCCACGUGUAAAUAAAUCACAGACUUUAUUAGACAGACUGAGUGGCUGCUUUCACGACUGGUCGAGGAAAAAAAGGGGAAUUCUGUUAGUUUUCAUUUUCUACCAGGUUGUAAAGCGGUUAUUUAGUAAACCAGAGUGAAUGAAAGCUGCAAAGUGGUGGAAGAUGUGACAAGAUGUGAACUAAAAGUCCUGCAUUCAAAGGUUUGUUAAAAGAAAAGUAAAUAAUUUGCAGUAAAAUUUCACAGUUUUACUCAA